RNAcentral lists this ribosomal RNA (468 nucleotides) under uncultured Anaerolineaceae bacterium. RNAcentral describes it as "bacterial SSU rRNA". It matches the Rfam family "Bacterial small subunit ribosomal RNA", at positions 903 to 1382 of the family's 1533-position model. Lineage: Bacteria; Bacillati; Chloroflexota; Anaerolineae; Anaerolineales; Anaerolineaceae. The record is from RNAcentral.
UACAAAUGAAUUGACGGGGACCCGCACAAGCAGCGGAGCGUGUGGUUUAAUUCGUUGCUACACGAAGAACCUUACCUGGGUUUGACAUAUAGGUUGUAGGGAACUGAAAAGGGACCGACCCUUCGGGGAGCCUAUACAGGUGUUGCAUGGCUGUCGUCAGCUCGUGUCGUGAGAUGUUCGGUUAAGUCCGCUAACGAGCGCAACCCUCGUCGUAUGUUAUAUGUGUCAUACGAGACUGCCGGUAAAAGCCGGAGGAAGGUGAGGAUGAUGUCAAGUCAGCAUGACCUUUAUAUCCAGGGCUACACACACGCUACAAUGGUCUGUACAAUGGGUAGCCAAGCCGCGAGGCGGAGCCAAUCCUGAAAGCAGGCCUCAGUUCAGAUUGCAGUCUGCAACUCGACUGCAUGAAGCCGGAGUUGCUAGUAACCGCAGGUCAGCAAUACUGCGGUGAAUACGUUCCCGGGUCUU